GCCAGGGUGGAAGUACAAAGAAGGCAGAGUGCUAAGGGAGGAAGGAAAGCUGUAAAGAGCAGAAAAUAUCAACACCAGGCCAGGGGCCCAGGAAGGGUCCCAGAGCCCUGUCAAGCCCUCAGACCUGGAGCUGGAACACGGACUACUGCCUACGACUGAGGAACCCAAACACCUAGGCCUGCACAAGAGAGAGACAAAGCUAGGGUCCCACUACCCAAGACCAGCUCAGGAGCGUCUACACUCGAGAGUGCCACCUUCUGCCGCUUCUGCGAGUCACCUACCAAGGUCCAUUGCAAUCAAACACCAGAGAAUGAAUACACACACUGCCAACCAAAGAUGCCUAAACCACUUCUUCUGCCCAUGCUCAUGGAUUUCUACCCAGUUCCACAGGAUCCCAACAGUGUCCCCCAGAAGUUGAUGGGACCAUGAGAAAAGAGAUACAUGGUCUUCAGCACAGAGCAGGAUUAAGUGACGCUGUUACUGUGGUAGAAAAGCCACGAGGCAUGACAAAACCCACUGUCAGAGCUUUAUGAGGAGAAGAGAGGAACAGAAGAAAGCAUGAGCAGGCCUGUGGAAGACAUGUGCAGAGAGAGAAGGCGGGGAGGAGAAGGAGAGAAGAAGGGGAAGGAGUCUGGUGCCCCGCUUCUUAUGGAUUCCUCUGCACAUACACAUAUGGACUUAUGGAGCUACACCACGCAUGUGCAUAGAUUGUGUGGUCACCCUGCAUGCAAAUUACAAGAUCACGCAGUGCACAGAUUAUGUAGGAUGUAAGACCCCUUGCUUGGCUACUGAACUGCACAUGUGCAGUCAUGCAGCUGGGGGAGUGGCCAGGAAUUCCAACACCCACCCCCGCCUGGUUUCCUAUGGAGACAAGAUGGCAGGCUGCCUCCAGCUCUUGCUGCCAUGCCUUUCCAGCCAUGAUGGACCCUACCCCAGCCUGUGAGCCAACAUAAACACUUCAUUCCUUUGAGAUGACAUCCCCAGGAUGCUUGUUAUAAGCUAUUCUAAUGUGGCAGUGUGCACUCUUUUUUUUUUUUUUAAUUUAUUGUGAGGAAGAGGGGUGUGUGCAUGCCA
Peromyscus maniculatus bairdii (prairie deer mouse) is the source of this 1074-nucleotide non-coding RNA. The record is from RefSeq and is a predicted model, not a curated record. Lineage: Eukaryota; Metazoa; Chordata; Mammalia; Rodentia; Cricetidae.